UACUAAGGGGGCUAGCGUUGCUCGGAAUCACUGGGCGUAAAGGGUGCGUAGGCGGGUCUUUAAGUCAGGGGUGAAAUCCUGGAGCUCAACUCCAGAACUGCCUUUGAUACUGAGGAUCUUGAGUUCGGGAGAGGUGAGUGGAACUGCGAGUGUAGAGGUGAAAUUCGUAGAUAUUCCCAAGAACACCAGUGGCGAAGGCGGCUCACUGGCCCGAUACUGACGCUGAGGCACGAAAGCGUGGGGAGCAAACAGG
Molecule: ribosomal RNA, 253 nt
Filed under: uncultured bacterium
Lineage: Bacteria
Description: partial 16S ribosomal RNA
Rfam family: Bacterial small subunit ribosomal RNA
Source: RNAcentral